RNAcentral lists this ribosomal RNA (465 nucleotides) under uncultured bacterium. RNAcentral's name for it is "partial 16S ribosomal RNA". It matches the Rfam family "Bacterial small subunit ribosomal RNA", at positions 339 to 795 of the family's 1533-position model. The record is from RNAcentral.
CUACGGGUGGCUCCAGUGGGGAAUAUUGGACAAUGGGGGAAACCCUGAUCCAGCAAUGCCGCGUGUGUGAAGAAGGCCUGCGGGUUGUAAAGCACUUUCGGUUGGGAGGACUGCUUCUAGCACUAAUAUUGUUGGAAGUUGACGUUACCUUCAGAAGAAGCACCGGCUAACUCCGUGCCAGCAGCCGCGGUAAUACGGAGGGUGCAAGCGUAAAUCGGAAUUACUGGGCGUAAAGCGCGCGUAGGCGGCUAGAUCAGUCGGGUGUGAAAGCCCCGGGCUUAACCUGGGAACUGCAUCCGAUACUGUCUAGCUUGAGUACAGGAGAGGAGAGUGGAAUUCCACAUGUAGCGGUGAAAUGCGUAGAUAUGUGGAGGAACACCAAUGGCGAAGGCAGCUCUCUGGCCUGAUACUGACGCUGAGGUGCGAAAGCGUGGGGGGCAAACAGGAUUAGAUACCCCUGUAGUC